UUGAAUUUACUUACUAAUAUCAUUGGGUCGAUUGAGGUAUGAUUCAUGAUUCCGUGCGUGUCGUGAGAAAGGUCCAUGGAACCUGAGAGAUUCAGAAAAGUCAUCCAAUGUCUCGUUGAAGUCUAAUCCUCCCAAGAUGUAGGAAACACAUUUCUUGUCCUACCAACUCUUUUAAGUCUCAUAAUAUAAAGAGGUCUAAAACUCUUGGAGAGAAUCGGGCAUUGGUGGACCGAAAAAGUGUGAAAAGCUCCAAUAGCCCUGCACCAUUAAGAAGCACCACU
Molecule: long non-coding RNA, 281 nt
Filed under: Linum usitatissimum (flax)
Lineage: Eukaryota; Viridiplantae; Streptophyta; Magnoliopsida; Malpighiales; Linaceae
Description: long non-coding RNA (LUSI_LNC007366)
Source: RNAcentral